ACCUACAGCGGCAGCCCGAGGUGCGGCGUCUUAGCCGGUUUUGUGCAGGCGGGAGGGCGAAGGAUGGGCGGGGCUUCUGUUCCCAAAUUUGCCCCUAAGCGGGGUUGACAGGGCGCAGCCGGGAGAGGCUGAGCUGGGGACAGAGAUGUAGUGGAAACGUUCAUGGAUGUCCAGGUCCAGGGCGCGCUGUCACCGGCCGCUGGCCAGAGCCCUGGGAAUGCGAAGAUGCUCCUUCUCCCCUGCCUUGGAAAGUUUUACUGAGUGAUUGGACUCCACGUUCACAGAUGCUUUGACCAAGUAAUUCAUUAUUUCUUCAGCUUCGGAAAGAGACUUCAGACGGGCAGCCUGCUUAGGGAGCCAUCAAAGCAUGAACUAUUAGCAUCAAGGAAUGGACCACUUUUGAACAUCUAGUCCAGACCUCUCUAGAGACGUGUGAGGACCAGAGAGAUUGGCUGCUGCCCAGGAUCACCCAGCUGCGGAGUGGCUGAGGCAGGAGUGGAACUCAGAGAGCCUGGAUUCUUGAAGAGCACCGCCUUUGUCCUGGGCCCUUCAGGAGAUGAUUUUUACUUGUGUGUUCUGCUGCCCUUCACCAGCUGUCUGACGUCCCCUGCUCUAAGGCCUCUACACUUUCAUGCUUGUCCUGGGCAGCCCAGGGUCACUGCUGCAGUUGCCGGGCACCUUCUUUAACCAGCCCUGAGCAGCGUCUCUUCCCUUCCCUAAAAUUACUCUGUGUCUUGUUAAGGGGUUAACAAACCACGCCUUUCACAGCUUUACCAGAAGCUGUGCUUGAACCUUUCAGCCUCCUCUGAUGUGCCUAAUGAUCUUAGCUUUGUGUACCACUCCAUAGCAUGGGGUAGUUUUUGCUUAUGCCUGAGGUUUUUCUGUCAAAAGUUGCUAUUUUGUGACUCUCCCUGCUUCCUCAGCAUGAUAGAACAGCUUUUACUGGAGAUGCCACCUUUAGUGCAAAAAUAUUAGUCUCUCAACUCUGGGAAUUUCGGGCACCAUGGUGAGCCUAUCCUGUAGAUGAUGAUGAUGAUGAUUGUGUUAGGGAUUCAACCUGUGGCCUUACACAUGCUAAGGAAGUGCUGUGCCUCUACAUCCAGCUCUGAACUAUGAUAUUUUAAGGGAGACUCUUUCAAGAGUUUCAAGUUAUAUCCUGCGUUUUCUAAUAGGACGCUCUGAGAAUACCGUUGGCAUUUACUAAAGCUCUGUGUGGGAUAAACUGUCUUAUUUCAUUGUUGUCACAGAGUCACAGAGUAACAGUCUUGUGUCUGCGAUGAUUCAUGGAGUGUUCCUAGAGCCCGGCGGUCUGCGUUAGGCCCCGAGGGCAUUUGAAAAGAAGGUUGACACCUACCUGUCUGUCCCCAGGCUGCCCCGAGGUGGAUAGGACAGAUGCAACCUGAGGAGGGUCCUUUGUUCCUGGGGCAUAGAAGGCACAUUGUGGAGGAAAGAGAUCCAGGAACCAUAGGCAAUGCCAUACCAGCCCUGCAUCGCUUUAUCUCUAGAAUUCCUUUACGGAAAAGAAAAAUAAAGUUUUAUCUUGUUUAGGCCACUGUUGUUUCUGGGCUCUGUUACUACCUGCCAAAUGCAAAUCUUUGCUGAUAUAGAAGUCCUUGAGGAUUUUGGAGCAAGGGGCCUGGUUCUGUACAAUUGGUGGCUCUGCAAGGACAGACUGGAGGUAGGAGGGAGUGUUCUGGGAAUACCAGGAGAUAAGGUUGGUGGGCAGGUGGGGACAGGUCCUGAGGCAGACUGAGAAUGUAUAUCUUGCACAGGGUCACUGGCUUUUAAAAAAUUUCCCCCAGGACACCUCUGCUAAAUUCCUAUUAUUCCGUGGCUAUUUAAGUGGGUAGUUAUUGAGUAAUUUGCAUUCUGCUAUUGUCAACUGGCCUGAAAGCUAGGGCGAUUGAGAUGAUGGGUGCUCUUUGUACUUUAAAAAGAAGCAGGCGAAAGCUGGGGCAGGGAAAGCAUAUCAGUGUUACAGUAAAGUGAAGUGAUUACGCUUUUUGAAGUCCCUCAGGCAUUUCCAAGGGAAGGAACUUUUGUUACACGGGAUUGUUUAUCUUGUUUAAGCCACUAUUAUUUCAGGAGGCGUUUGAAAUGUAUCCUUGCCUGGAUGGCAACUGUAAAUAACAUUUAAAAAUAUAUCCAGGAGUAACUGGCAGAGUAAAGCUAAUUUCAUAUGCUACAAAGUUCUAAAAGGGGGAAAAUUGUGUUUUAUUAACUUACUGUAUGGUUCAUGUAAUCACAUCGAGCAAUGUCAGUCUCUUCAGAGUGAACUUUUCAUUUUGAGGUUAGGAGAAAUUUAAUUAUUAUUUACAUG
Long non-coding RNA from Fukomys damarensis (Damara mole-rat), 2320 nucleotides. RefSeq lists it as uncharacterized. The record is from RefSeq and is a predicted model, not a curated record. The transcript has 3 exons. Lineage: Eukaryota; Metazoa; Chordata; Mammalia; Rodentia; Bathyergidae.